GACACCGCCAGUGAGGAGUCCUUGGGUGAAAGCAAGGACCAGCUCGUGAAUGACUUUGGGAAACCCUCCUCCCAGAAAGCCGUGAAGCCCCGGGAAAUAAUGCUGCGGGCAAACAGCCUAAAGAAAGCAGUGAGCCAAAACCACACCUCAGUCUCCUGAUGCCCAGGCAAGCCGUGGUCAUUCCCAAAUUGAUUCCGUCGCUGGUCCAGCUAUGGCCACCACCAAAGAAAACCUCCCUGUGCUCAACACCAGAAUAAUCUGCCCAGGUAGUGAAG
RNAcentral lists this long non-coding RNA (275 nucleotides) under Rattus norvegicus (Norway rat). Its description in RNAcentral is "long non-coding RNA NONRATT011115". Lineage: Eukaryota; Metazoa; Chordata; Mammalia; Rodentia; Muridae. The record is from RNAcentral.